GCCACUGUGUCUUACAAAUCUGACCGCCUGA
This 31-nucleotide non-coding RNA is filed under the name Mus musculus (house mouse). The record is from RNAcentral. Lineage: Eukaryota; Metazoa; Chordata; Mammalia; Rodentia; Muridae.